ACUCAAAUGAAUUGACGGGGACCCGCACAAGCGGUGGAGCAUGUGCAUUAAUACGUCACUAACCGUAGAACCUUACCAGGGUUUGACAUCCCCGGCCCGCCUGUGAAAGCAGGUUUCUCUAGCAAUAGAGCCGGGAGACAGGUGUUGCAUGGCUGUCGUCAGCUCGUGUCGUGAGAUGUUGGGUUAAGUCCCGCAACGAGCGCAACCCUCACUCGAUGUUGCCAGCGUAAAGUCGGGAACUCUUCGAGAACUGCCCGUGUAAGCGGGAGGAAGGUGGGGAUGACGUCAAGUCAGCAUGGCCCUUACAUCCUGGGCUUGACACAUGCUACAAUGGCCGUUAAACAAAGGGACGCAAUACCGCGAGGUGGAGCCAAUCUCAGAAAUACGGUCUCAGUUCGGAUUGCAGGCUGCAACUCGCCUGCAUGAAGUCGGAAUCGCUAGUAACCGCCGGUCAGCUAAACGGCGGUGAAUACGUUCCCGGGUCUUGUACACACCGCCCGU
RNAcentral lists this ribosomal RNA (501 nucleotides) under uncultured bacterium. RNAcentral's name for it is "partial 16S ribosomal RNA". It matches the Rfam family "Bacterial small subunit ribosomal RNA", at positions 899 to 1397 of the family's 1533-position model. The record is from RNAcentral.